GAGAUAUUAGUAAAAUUAUUACAUAACUUUGUCAAAGUUAAAUUAUAGGUUAAAUCUAUAUAUCUCU
Molecule: transfer RNA, 67 nt
Filed under: Hylomyscus anselli (Ansell's wood mouse)
Lineage: Eukaryota; Metazoa; Chordata; Mammalia; Rodentia; Muridae
Description: tRNA-Asp
Rfam family: tRNA
About the family: Transfer RNA (tRNA) molecules are approximately 80 nucleotides in length. Their secondary structure includes four short double-helical elements and three loops (D, anti-codon, and T loops).
Source: RNAcentral